GAUGAACGCUGGCGGCGUGCCUAAUACAUGCAAGUCGAGCGAACGGACGAGAAGCUUGCUUCUCUGAUGUUAGCGGCGGACGGGUGAGUAACACGUGGAUAACCUACCUAUAAGACUGGGAUAACUUCGGGAAACCGGAGCUAAUACCGGAUAAUAUUUUGAACCGCAUGGUUCAAAAGUGAAAGACGGUCUUGCUGUCACUUAUAGAUGGAUCCGCGCUGCAUUAGCUAGUUGGUAAGGUAACGGCUUACCAAGGCAACGAUGCAUAGCCGACCGGAGAGGGUGAUCGGCCACCCUGGAACUGGACCGCGGUCCAGACUCCUACGGGAGGCCGCAGUCGCGAAUCUUCCGCAAUGGGCGAAAGCCUGACGGAGCAACGCCGCGUGAGUGAUGAAGGUCUUCGGAUCGUAAAACUCUGUUAUUAGGGAAGAACAUAUGUGUAAGUAACUGUGCACAUCUUGACGGUACCUAAUCAGAAAGCCCCGGCUAACUACGUG
This 497-nucleotide ribosomal RNA is filed under the name uncultured bacterium. RNAcentral's name for it is "partial 16S ribosomal RNA". It matches the Rfam family "Bacterial small subunit ribosomal RNA", at positions 28 to 507 of the family's 1533-position model. The record is from RNAcentral.